RNAcentral lists this long non-coding RNA (2958 nucleotides) under Sus scrofa (pig). RNAcentral's name for it is "lncRNA (ENSSSCG00045009442.1)". The stretch from base 1692 to 1762 matches the Rfam family "mir-124 microRNA precursor family". The record is from RNAcentral. Lineage: Eukaryota; Metazoa; Chordata; Mammalia; Artiodactyla; Suidae.
CCCCAUUCCAGCAUCUGAUCAUGGUUGAUUCUGCUUACGUGUGUAUUUCAGAUUAAGGAGGCAUUUAUUUAUUUAUUUAAUCUGUCAGAUCUUCCAACUCAAAAAAAAAAAAAAAGACUUAAUUCUUUUCCAAGGCAAAGGGUUGAUAAAAAGGCUCCAUUUUAAAUCAAUGGGGGAAAUCAGAUGACUGUGACCUUGACGUGUGAAAUGGGGGAGGGGCGCGUAGAUUUGGGCCCAAACCCUUGGCCUCUCCAUUCCUGGGGCGUCCUAGGCCCUUUCUAAGCACACCAACAAGAAGGGGGUUACAUUUUCAAAGGUUACCAUUAACAGUUCAUAUGCUAAAGUUGGGAACUUGGUAUUUUCAUAUUACGUGAAAUACAUGAUUUAAUUAUACUUCAAAAACAAAUUAAGGACAGGCCUUCUACACAAAUUGGAGGCAGCUAAAUGCUCUUUUGUGCCUGCAGCCCUCGGGUUGUUAAAGAGGCUGCUGAUGCAUGAGAAGGGCGCGUUGCGGGGUCUCUGCGUUAGACCGGUUCUCAGCGGUUUCUGCAGCCACAGCCUGGCUCUACGCCUCCCCCCGGGCCGCGGGGGCGGAGAAUCCUCCCUUCCUCGGACACUGGAGCCGGAGCGGACCUUGCCCUCCCGCGGACCGCGCGGUAGGGGACGCCGAGAAAAGAGCCCCUGCGCCCGCCGCCUCCGGCCCGCCGCGCAGAGGGCUCCGCCCGUAGAGGUCAACUCCCCUCACCCUUUCGGCUCUCCUGAUCGCCCUCCCUCCGCCCGGCCCAGGCUCCGCCAGCCUCCCGACUCGGGCCGCAGUCUGAGGAGUGCGCCUCCGCUGCGCUGCUCUGAACCUUAACCCCGAGCCGGGCCCAGACCCGAGGUCCGCGCACCCCGGCGGUGGGGAAGCCUUAGCGAGCAGCCUUUUCUCUGCAGCAAAGCUGUAGGAAGACCAGAUGGGCCGCGCAGCUCUCUCGGGACUAGGCAGGUGCGGUUGAGUUAAUUUUUCCGCAUUACAAAGAAAGAUGACCCAGUCCGCCCUUGGACCCUCAUCUCUUCCCCAAAUCUCCCAACCUGAACCGCGGUAACGUUAUCAGAGGACACAGAGACUAGGCAUAUCUGCGUGAUUAUCUUACACACACACACACACACACACACACACACACACACACACACGUGUAUGAGUAUUUUCUUUUUUAUGUGCCAGAUCUCAUCCUCGACAGCUGGAAAUGACUGGCAAAGCUUUCUGCAGAACAGAAAGUCCUUAAAACCUGCCAUUCCUUACAAGUGACUUAGAAGAGAUGCAAGGCUAACCAACUCAGUUCAUUGCCUUGAGUAAAACAACACGUUUACGAACUUAGUUCUGCACCAGAAGGGUGAUUAACUUCGAUACACGCCAUCAUUUGAAACUAGAUUUGUAGGCGUAUGUAUGUUCUUAGGUGUGCUAUAAAUGGCAUGCAGAUAUAUGCAUAUGUAUAUGCAGACACUUACAUCGUCUACACUUCCACCGAACAGACUAAUUAGCAGUGGCUCUGGCAGCCGUGGCAGGAGGCUAGCUGAAACAGAAGCCUGAGCUUAUGAGUUAGGACUCUGGAGGAGUCAUAGGGACUCAAGCUCAGGGCAGGGGAAAAGGGCAGAAGGAGAAGUGUGGCAUUCGCAAUGGGUCAGUUACUUUCCGGAUCAAGACCAGACUCUGCCCUCCGUGUUCACAGCGGACCUUGAUUUAAUGUCAUACAAUUAAGGCACGCGGUGAAUGCCAAGAGCGGAGCCUACGGCUGCACUUGAAGGACACUAGAGCGUCUUAGAAUAAGAAAGUGCAAAAGGCACUUGCAAGGGUGGGCUGAGGGGUGGUAGAAUGGAACCCAUCCUUUAACACAUAAAGACCCUCAAACUGAUUUCAGAACCAGCCUAGUGUUCCAAAAGCAGAAGGGUCAUAGUUUUCACUAAGAGCCUCGGAAAUCCGCAAGCAAAUCCCCCAGGGGGAUUUUAGCGGAGCCUCAGUGACAGCUGUCAGGAGAGCAGUAGUUCCCGUCUGUGCAAAUAUUCCAGAGAGUUGAGGCGUUUAGAAAGCACUGGUUCUUUCAAGAGCAGGUAGUGUGAUUGUUUGCAAUCCUGGGCCAAGAUGCGGAAACAAAUCAGAAGGGAGAGGAUAAUAACAUUAAAUGGCGCCCUCAACACACUGCGCAAGAAACCUCAAAUAGUUCAGCUACUUCAGGAAGCUCUGAACACAGCCCCCCCUCCCCCUUCUCUUCCCAGUCUAGAGCUGGCCUCGCCUACUUAAAAAAAAAAAAAAAAAAAAAAAAAAAAGAAGAUAAUUUCCUGGUUUCGAUGUGGUCGCAAUGAUCACAUCAGUCAAAGGAGUAAGACGGGGAAAAAAACCAGGACAGAAACUUUAGAAGGACUGGGUAAAUUAAUUUAUUUGGCAGCCAAUGUGCUGCACUUUGUUAAGGUAAUAGUUUCGCACCAAGGCCUUGGAGCCAAAGACAAACUCAGGCUGAGAAAGCGGGCCUUGAUAGAUGUCUUUGUUCUGCCUUUGGCGAGCCGGGGCUGGGAACAAAGGAGGGGAGCUAAGACGGGAUUCAGUAAAGUGGCCGCGCCCUCGGCUCCUGGUGCUGUCCGCGGUGCUGACCACGGCCCUCCUCUCUUUAUGUAAUUUAACCAAAAAGCAAUGGGACCGUCCUACCCGCAUUCAAAAGAAUAAGAAGAUAUUUGGUAGUUUGCGAAGGAAAAAAUUAAAACAGAGAAAUGUCUUAUAAAGCGAAACCUAAUACUUUAUGGAAAGAGAACACUCUAGCUGUUGCCACACUUGGCUCGUAUGUCUCGCAAACACGUAGCGUUCAUCUAUGUAUUUUUGGGAAAACAUUUAAGUUUAUUUAGGCUAAAACCAGAAUCUAGGACCUGCGAGGAAGAUGAAGGCUGGUUUUUUUUCUUAAGUCAUCUUCCUUAAAACAUACAAAACCU